CAUCAAGAUUUUUUCUAAAAUGGUGAAGUAAUAUAGCUAUUAGAAAGUUUAGUGCCCAAUGACUCGCUUUAUCAUUGUUUAAAAAUCAGAAACAUUCCUUUACUGGAUUGAGACCUCCCUUUAAACCAUUCUUAAAGCUCUUAAUUGUAAGCCAAUAUCAAUUUCAUUGAGAAAUGUUUCUUUCAAAAAAACACCAAGUCAGCCCA
This 206-nucleotide long non-coding RNA is filed under the name Mytilus galloprovincialis (Mediterranean mussel). Lineage: Eukaryota; Metazoa; Mollusca; Bivalvia; Mytilida; Mytilidae. The record is from RNAcentral.